This 2037-nucleotide long non-coding RNA is filed under the name Theobroma cacao (cacao). RNAcentral describes it as "long non-coding RNA (TCAC_LNC005518)". Lineage: Eukaryota; Viridiplantae; Streptophyta; Magnoliopsida; Malvales; Malvaceae. The record is from RNAcentral.
UAAAUAAUUUUUGUAGCGUAAAAGCAAAAUAUAUUCUUAUAUACAGUAACAUAGAUAACUAGAGUAUGUAAUUUAAUUUACAAUGACGUGUGGGCCCCCCUCGAAUGACCAAAAGUAACGAAGGCUGCGAACCUACAGUUUUGAGGAUGCAAAUCCAACUGUAGCCCUCGACGAAAUCAGUUAUCUACAGACUAACCUGAGCCUAAAAUGGGUGGAAAUGAGGGGUGAGUUUUUAUAAACCCAAUGAGUAAACAAACAUCAUCUCAAAUAUCUAAAGCCGAGUAAAUGAAGACAACUUAAAAUAGUUCAUCGUACUAUGAUUCAUAACGUUUCAAACUCAUUUCAACUUAACAAAAUAAAUUCAUUUCACUCAAAUAAUCAACAUGGCUUAUGAAUUUCUUAAAAAUUUGGCUCGUGCCAAAACUUAUUCUCGGGGAUACCUUGGCCGAGGCAUCCAACCGAGUCCUCCAAGGCUGUUAAAGAAAAGUUCAUAUACUCAUAAAACACAUUUUUACGUUUAAAAGCAUAGCCGUUCCUUGGCGUUGGUUGAGUUCACCCUCAAGUGGUGGUUUAGCGUGUAGUGAACUCUAAAGCUUUACCUUAGGAGAUACCCUCCGCGCCUCUCGUACUAAGGUAAAUAUAAUGGGGUUUACCGUGCCCCUCUAAUAGGCUGGUCCACGAUAACCCGCCCACUGCAGUAACCUAAAUACAUAACCCACCAAAUCAAUAAUAUUUCGGUAGCAUAACAUGGCUAAUAUAAUACUACCCAGCCUGUCAAGGCAAAACAAACAGUUCAUACAAUUUCAACAUAAUUUCCAAUUUAGCCAUUCAUGCCAAUAUCACCAUAAGCCAUUCAAUUCAAACCAUAAAUUUACAACACAAACAAAUAGUCUCCAAUUACUCAAUUUUUAAUAUCAUCAUUCAAUUUCAAAAUGAUUUAUAAAACUCAUUUCAUUUAAUCAAAUUUUACUUAUAAAAGAUAAGGAUUUACCAUUUAAACUCAUUUUUCUAUAAAAUCACAAAAAACGAAUAAAAACUACUUUAGAUAAUUAAGACGAUAAUAAGGUUACUCAUAAUAUCGGGAGUCGAAGUACUCCUAGUCUUGAUCUCCGGGUACAAUUUCCUUACUCUUAUCGAAAGUUCACCACCUAUACCCAAUACACAACAAAUAAUUCAAUAUAUUGUGUCAUGUCAUUAUAAAUCUAUUUCAAGCUCUAUAUGAAUGCAUGAGGUUGUUUGGAUAGUCACUUAAAGACGGUGUUACACGUUGGUUCAAUUAUGAUCGGAAUGGAUCGAUUUUCGACCUAAUUCGAACUCUCCACCUUUGAUUUAACCAAAACAUCCAAAUUAACUCCAAUUAUAUCCAUCACACUUCCAAUGUCCCAAAAUACACCAAAGCGUCUCAAUGAGCUUAACUUUUUCAUUGUUAUUCAACUUAUUUACUAAAAGAACUAUACUUUAAAAUUACCAUUUUCGAUUUUCAUCACCACUAUUCAUUAAAUUCUAACUAAAUAACACAAGAUAUUAUAAGAAUCAUCAUCACUAGGUUCCUUAUGAAAUUCGGCCAUGGUGGGUGCAUAAACACUAAGGUUUUUCAUACUUGAUUUUUUUAUACCAUAAAUCAUUAGUUCCUAACCAAAUCACUUGAAAUAAAAUCAAAUCCACCAUCAACAUACCAUAAGGAAGAUUCGGCCAAUAAGGGUGAUGAAAGAACAUGAAUUUUUCUUGUUUGCUUUUCAUGCUACACAUCACCAACCAACUAAAAACACUAGAAUAACAUGUUUUCCAACUAAAUUCAUCAUCAAAUCUUCUCCCCCUAGGUUCGGCCAACAAGGGAUCCAUCAUGAAAUCAUGAAUUUCAACCAUGGAAAAUGAGAAAGAAUGCUUAGGAAAGAUAGAUCUCAAGCUAAAAUUGAAAAAUCUUACCUUUUGUCACUUGAUUCCUUGAAAUUCCAAAGUUUUCUCUUGAAUUUUUCUAACUAGGUUUUGUUCUUUCUUUCUUUCCUCUUUUCCUUGGUGAGGCCAAACAUAUGGGAG